GACAGAGGUGCCAAGCGUUAGGCGGAAUCACUGGGCUUAAAGCGUGUGUAGGCGGAAUUGUAAGUACCUUGUGAAAUCCCACAGCUCAACUGUGGAACUGCUUGGUAUACUGCUUUUCUUGAGCCACUUAGGGGCUACCGGAACAAAUGGUGGAGCGGUGAAAUGCGUAGAUAUCAUUUGGAACGCCAAUGGUGAAAACAGGUAGCUGGGAGUGUGCUGACGCUGAGACACGAAAGCCAGGGGAGCGAACGGG
This 253-nucleotide ribosomal RNA is filed under the name uncultured bacterium. RNAcentral describes it as "partial 16S ribosomal RNA". It matches the Rfam family "Bacterial small subunit ribosomal RNA", at positions 524 to 776 of the family's 1533-position model. The record is from RNAcentral.